AUUGAACGCUGGCGGCAGGCUUAACACAUGCAAGUCGAGCGAGCGGCGGACGGGUGAGUAAUGUCUGGGAAACUGCCUGAUGGAGGGGGAUAACUACUGGAAACGGUAGCUAAUACCGCAUACCAUCAGAUGUGCCCAGAUGGGAUUAGCGAGUAGGGGGGGUAAUGGCUCACCAAGGCGACGAUCCCUAGCUGGUCUGAGAGGAUGAACAGCCACACGGGGACUGAGACACGGUCCAGACUCCUACGGUGGGCAGCAGUGGGGAAUAGUGGACAAUGGGCGAAAGCCUGAUGCAGCCAUGCCGCGUGUUUGAAGAAGGCCUUCGGGUUGUAAAGCACUUUCAGCGAGGAGGCGUUACUCGCAGAAGAAGCACCGGCUAACUCCGUGCCAGCAGCCGCGGUAAUUC
RNAcentral lists this ribosomal RNA (406 nucleotides) under uncultured bacterium. RNAcentral's name for it is "partial 16S ribosomal RNA". It matches the Rfam family "Bacterial small subunit ribosomal RNA", at positions 30 to 526 of the family's 1533-position model. The record is from RNAcentral.